This is a long non-coding RNA of Haliotis rufescens (red abalone), 1975 nucleotides long. RefSeq lists it as uncharacterized. The record is from RefSeq and is a predicted model, not a curated record. Lineage: Eukaryota; Metazoa; Mollusca; Gastropoda; Lepetellida; Haliotidae. The transcript is spliced from 3 exons.
ACCAUAAUCACACACUUGCAUUACCUAACGGUUUUUGGACAGUGCGGAAGUUGCACCGAAACGCAACGUCAAGUAUAUAUACCCUGUGAACACUUGAUCGGUCGCCUGCUCAAUUGACGUCAACUCCAAGGAGACCGGGAACUGUCUACAGAGUGAGGUGUCAGGUCGGCUGGUCACUGACUUGAACUCCGAGUAGGCCGGGAACUGUCUACAGAUUGAGGUACCUAAGGAACAAAAUAGCAUCUCGGAUUCUGAAGACGAUCUGGGCAAUCGUGGCUGUACUGUUCAGGUUUCUAACGGCAGUUAUUGUGGUUAACAUCGGAAAAAUAUGUCCCCGGAUCAUUAGGGGGUGCAGAAAAAACCCUUGAAGGUUCCUCAGUGAGUGGAGCGGACCUGUAUGAGACGUUGCUCAUGCCUAAAAACUGGAAACUGAUUCUACAGAAAUGGUUUCUAGACGUAGCUUUGUACCCAGAUGAGAAUGGUAAAGUGCCAGAUGCAGUUGUCUGGUCAGCAGACGGCAAAACUAAACACCAUCUGGUUGACUUCAUGAAGAAUUGGCGCCCUCUGGUUUUCAACUUUGGAAGCUGUAGCUGACCUCCCUUUAUGGCCAAGUUCAACGACAUUGUUCAAAACUAUGGACAUAUCGCUGACUUUCUUCUGAUAUACAUAAAGGAAGCUUAUCCAACAGACGGGUGGCAUUUCAAGAGCAACAGUUAUUACAUUGAAUCAGCUAAGAACAUGAACGACCGGGUUCAGGCGGCAAAGUUCUUGCGAGAUGAGAAUGUGCGAUGUCCCGUCGUUCUAGAUAACAUAACAGACGAGGCUGUUAAAACAUACUUCUGUUUUCCCGAAAGGGUGUACAUCGUGUUGGAUGGUGUGAUUAUGUUUGUUGGGGGAAGAGGCCCAGGCCAAUACAACCUUCAACCAGUGAAAGAGUGGCUCAUCGCCUACAGUGGGCAGGAGUAGGUAAUGUGCCUGAGGACCGACCAUUGGAUGUACACAAUAUACUCACACGCAAAAGAAACUUUCUUCUGAUAUACAUAAAGGAAGCUCAUCCAACAGACGGGUGGCACUUUAGGAGUAAUAAGUACCAAAUAGAAACCGUCCAAUGUAUGGACGACCGAGUAGGGGCGGCCAUGUUGUUAAGUGACGAUAAUUUGAGAUGCCCUAUCAUUCUGGAUGACAUAACAGAUGAAGCUUGUAUAUUGAGAGGCUGUAUAUUGUCCUAGAUGGCGUUGUGGUGUUCGCUGGAGGAAGGGGCCCGAGAUAAUACAAUACCAAACUCGUGGACGACUGGCUUAGCGCCUACAGAGGGCUCUAGUUGAAACAUGCGCACCCCUGCACCUUGUCUCUCGUCUGUACGCAUAGUAUAUAAUCAACAUUUAAACUCGUAUCCCCGUCUCAGCUAUCGCAUCCCAUAUAGUCCCUACAUUCUAAUCUGAAAUUAAAAGACUUGGGGUUUCUUUAAUACUUGCAGGUCCCUUGUAUAAUGAUUUCAUUUUAACGUUAUUCAUAAGUUUACCACAGGGACUCUUAUGUUAGUCUACCUGCAUCUGUCCUCUCUAGAUCCGCGUAUAUCGUGGAGUCCGCCAUACUGUGGUUCGCCAGACCCAGGUUCCACUGUUUUGAGGCCACCGUGAUAUAACUGGAACAUUGGGAACUGCGGCGUCAAACACACUCCAGCCUAUCUCAGUUUAGAAAUAAGGCUGCAGUUUAAACAAUGGCAUGCUAAUUCGCUUAUGUGGGUUUCAACACUUUGAACGUGUAGAGAUUUCAGGUGUGACUUCAGCACGUAUUCUGGUGUCAGUUGACAGCACCGCGUAUGACCAUGUGACCGGAAAUAUCGGGGUCACGUGUGAUGUCUGGAGAGCUGUCAUCUGGCAUCACAAGGUGUAAACGAUCGUCUGGUCUAGUUUCGUCCAGUAUUAUCAAAAUAAUGUUGAACAUGAAAAUGAUAUAAAAAUUCAGAAUCCCA